GGAUCAUUAGCUCAGUUGGUAGAGCACCUGACUCUUAAUCAGGGUGUCCGGGGUUCGAACCCCUGAUGAUCCA
Dialister invisus CAG:218 is the source of this 73-nucleotide transfer RNA. It matches the Rfam family "tRNA". From Rfam's summary of the family: Transfer RNA (tRNA) molecules are approximately 80 nucleotides in length. Their secondary structure includes four short double-helical elements and three loops (D, anti-codon, and T loops). Lineage: Bacteria; Bacillati; Bacillota; Negativicutes; Veillonellales; Veillonellaceae. The record is from Rfam.